AACGAACGCUGGCGGCGUGGUUAAGACAUGCAAGUCGAACGGACUAUUCAAUUGAGUAAUCGAGAGAAUAGUUAGUGGCGUAAGGGUGAGUAAUGGAUAGGUAACGUACCCUGUGCUCCGGAAUAGCGUCAGUUCACCUUCGGGUGGACAUCCGAAAGGGGCGGUAAUACCGGAUAAUAUCAUCUGUCGAUAGGCUGAUGAUCAAAGAUUUAUCGGCAUAGGAGCGGCCUUUCUCUUAUCAGCUUGUUGGUGAGGUAAUGGCUCACCAAGGCUAUGACGGGUAGCGGGACUGAGAGGUUGGCCCGCCACAUCGGGACUGAGACACUGCCCGGACCUCCACGGAGGGCUGCAGUAACGAAUCUUGCGCAAUGGGCGAAAGCCUGACGCAGCGACGCCGCGUGUGGGAGGAAGUCUUUCGGGAUGUAAACCACUGUCAGGGGGAAGAAAGUUCACUCCGGUGGAUUGAUCUAACC
This 473-nucleotide ribosomal RNA is filed under the name uncultured bacterium. Its description in RNAcentral is "bacterial SSU rRNA". It matches the Rfam family "Bacterial small subunit ribosomal RNA", at positions 29 to 479 of the family's 1533-position model. The record is from RNAcentral.